UACAGAGACUGCAAGCGUUAUUCGGAUUCACUGGGCGUAAAGGGUGCGUAGGUGGCGGGGAAAGUUUGAUGUGAAAUCUCCGAGCUCAACUCGGAAAUGGCAUUGAAUACUAUCCCGCUUGAGGGUCGGAGGGGAGACUGGAAUUCUCGGUGUAGCAGUGAAAUGCGUAGAUAUCAGGAGGAACACCUGCGGUGUAGACGGCUUACUGGACCAUAACUGACGCUGAGGCACGAAAGCGUGGGUAGCAAACAGG
This 253-nucleotide ribosomal RNA is filed under the name uncultured bacterium. RNAcentral describes it as "partial 16S ribosomal RNA". It matches the Rfam family "Bacterial small subunit ribosomal RNA", at positions 524 to 776 of the family's 1533-position model. The record is from RNAcentral.